GAUGAACGCUGGCGGCGUGCCUAAUACAUGCAAGUCGAGCGAACUUUUGGGAGCUUGCUCCCAAAAGUUAGCGGCGGACGGGUGAGUAACACGUGGGUAACCUGCCUGUAAGACUGGGAUAACUUCGGGAAACCGGAGCUAAUACCGGAUAACAUUGAAGACCACAUUGCCUUCAAUUAAAAGGUGGCUUUUAGCUACCACUUACAGAUGGACCCGCGUCGCAUUAGCUAGUUGGUGAGGUAACGGCUCACCAAGGCGACGAUGCGUAGCCGACCUGAGAGGGUGACCGGCCACACUGGAACUGAGACACGGCCCAGACUCCUACGGGAGGCAGCAGUGGGGAAUAUUCGCGAAUGGGCGAAAGUCUGACGGAGCAACGCCGCGUGGGCGAAGAAGGCCUUGGGGUCGUAAAGCCCUUUUGUUGGGGAAGAAAAAAAAUCGGUCAAAAAGGGGGGGUCCUGGCGGUUACCAAACCAGAAGCCCCGGCUAACCUCGGG
This 497-nucleotide ribosomal RNA is filed under the name uncultured bacterium. RNAcentral describes it as "partial 16S ribosomal RNA". It matches the Rfam family "Bacterial small subunit ribosomal RNA", at positions 28 to 507 of the family's 1533-position model. The record is from RNAcentral.